GGUGAAGAACGCAGCGAAAUGCGAUAAGUAAUGUGAAUUGCAGAAUUCAGUGAAUCAUCGAAUCUUUGAACGCACCUUGCGCCCUUUGGCCAUUCCGAAGGGCAUGCCUGUUUGAGUAUCAUGAACACCUCAACUCUUCAUGGUUUUCCGUGAUGAGCUUGGACUUUGGGGGUCUUGCUGGCCUAUGGUCAGCUCCUCUAAAAUAAAUCAGCUUGCCAGUGUUUGGUGGGUAUCACAGGUGUGAUAACUAUCUACGCUUGUGGUUUUCCACCAGGUAACCUUCAGCAGUGGAGGUUCGCUGGAGCUCACAGAUGUGUCUCUCCUCAGUGAGGACAGCUCUUUGAAUGUUUGAUCUCAAAUCAGGUAGGACUACCCGCUGAACUUAAGCAUAUCAAUAAGCGGAGGA
This 406-nucleotide unclassified non-coding RNA is filed under the name soil metagenome. RNAcentral describes it as "partial contains 5.8S ribosomal RNA, internal transcribed spacer 2, and large subunit ribosomal RNA". The stretch from base 3 to 121 matches the Rfam family "5.8S ribosomal RNA", at positions 37 to 154 of the family's 154-position model. The record is from RNAcentral.